CGCUGGAAAUAGUAUUCAGUUUGUUGCUGGAGCGUUUCCCCUCAAUUUUAAUUAUACAAGGACAUGAGCUCGAAUAUGUUGAGCUGAGUAAUUCCGCCCAAUCAUAAGCAUUAUAGCUUUAUGUCUUACUUACACAAAUUACAUUAUUCUUCAAACAAAGGAAAUUGAAUUUGUGAUAUCUCUAGCUAUUGUUCAUGUUGGGUUCGGGAUCACCUACUAGUAUUAUUUUUAUUUUUAUUAUAUAGAAAUGAACAAGGUGUACGAACACCGCAUCAAAAAGUUAUACAGAAAGCAAUAAAAAUUGUACAGUAAACUUGGGUGACACGUGUUGUUAAAUGUGCGACACCUUGCUUGGAACCCAUUUUCUUUUCUACAGUUUCUCGCUUUAAUUUCUCUCUCUGUCAUACUUCUCUUUUCUCCUCUUUCUCAAUUUUUAGUUGGGUUGCUUUUCUUUUGCUGUACUUUCUUUGUUUGUAAUCGCCAUUUCUUUUGGGUCUAUUAUACAAACUUUUUACUGCAUUAUGCACCUAAGAUGUUUGAUAGUAUGCCAAAGUAACUGAACAAUAUUCUAUUUCUUUGUUUUUUUCACAGAUUUUCUACAAAAUGCUCCUCUGUCAGUCAACAAUCCAAAGGGUUCUGCAGCUACAAAUACAAAUGAUUCCUUCUCUAUCUUUGAUGUAGGUAGAUGUGAUUCAGAAAUUCUCCAAUUCCAGUAGUUUCUACAAAUAGAGGUAUGUAUCUAUCUAAUGUAAAGUUUUUUAGAAUUAAACCAAAUUGUAAAAAUUACUUAACAAAAUAAAAAAUUGCUUGGAACUGGAGUGUCAACAAGCAAAGACACUGGAUUGCAUAGAUUACGGUAUACUGAGGAACAACGACUUGCUGAUAGAAAUAUGUGACGUCGUAUUAGAUAUGCACAAAUGUCGUCGGAGAUCGUCAGAGAGAAAACAAUCAUUUUAUUGCAACUGCAAGCUAAAAGAGCUAACUUAAAAAGCCAGCGACUUUCUCAUCAUACCAGUAAUGUACUAAUUUCUAGGUAUGUAAUAUUUUAGAUUCCAAAUGAAGUUCAUUUGUAUAUGAAUAUUUGGCAUCUUUUUGGGUCUUCAUUAAGCAUUCAUGUGGCCUCUUUCACAAAGUAAAUUAUGUUGCUUAACAAGAGCUGCUCAACUUCAUACCAAUUGCUUAGGAUGCUGUGCUGCUUGUCUUAUUUUAUUCCAACAGAGGUAAGGGAGUUAAGUGAGUUAUGUCAUUUUUGUUUUUCAAAUGAACUUAGGUUACUUUACACUUUCAUUUUUAUUUUUAUGUUGUCUUUCUUCUUUACCAAGUUCCACUUCUUGCCGAGUUUGACCAGAUAAAAGGUUAUCAUAUAGUUGUACUACUGUGUCACAUUUACCUUUUUUCGGUUAGUUUGGUCUAAAAAGAUUUUCCCUCAAGUGUUUCCAUGGUACUAAAUGUUUAGUAGAAAAGAUUGUCGUUCUUGAAGGCACUGUAGGAGGAAUGGUUUUAAACAUUUAUUCGGUUCAAUAUAUCAAAAAUAUCAUGUUUGCCAUGAUAGUUCACUUCUACUUCUCAAUUUAGAACAUAAUUUCAUAAUUUAGUGCAGUAUCAAGACAGUUUUCAUAAUUUAUUGAUUUUGGUCGUUUUUGCUUCUGAAGCCUUAGGUUGUUAAUCUAUUGUAAAAGGGCAGCCCGUGCACUAAGCUCCCGCUAUGUGCGGGGUCCGGAAAAGGAUCGGACGUGAUGAUCAGUUAUUAAGGUUCCAAUCUCAAUAUUGAGGGCAGAAAUCGACCAAGAUGUCAUCAGAGAGAGAUUGUCAAGCAAUUCGAGAUGGUCUUAAAUGUUAAGCUGGAGGUAGGAAGUUUUACAUGCUUAUGCUUUUCACAAAUUACACUUGUCAAUGUUACUUUAAAACCUCUCUAUUGGUGAUCAUAAGCUGCAUGUAGUCCAAUUUCAGUCACCACAUCACUAAUCCCUGUUUAAAACUUUCAUGAACUUGAAAGAAGCGGAAUCAGUAAUUUGCUUACUUAUGUAUAUAUUAGAAAAAAAUAUUAAUAGUGAAAGAUUAUAAUAGCCUUAAUUUCGAGUUCCAAAAAAGAGCAAAGAUUUUACUAAUAGCUUUUCUUAAAGUUUAUGCUUGAAAGAGUAAAUUGUUCUCUUUUCUAUUUUAUGUAUAUUAUUAUUAGCAGUAAGUUGACUGGCAUCAUGUUUGCAUUGUUACUGUAUUCUCAUUAGCUACAAAUAAGGUCUCAUUGGGUUUCGCAACAAUGGUGUGUCUUACUACUCCUUUGUUUACUAUAGUACCGGGUCUAUGUACUGUCUAUCGCGUUUGCUUUGCAUCUACUUUCUCAUUUCCAUGAUGUUAUUUUUCCUAUGGUUUCUAUUGGUGAUACUGAUAUUGUCUCUUUUUGUCUUCUUGAGCCGAGAGUCUUUCAGAAACAGCGUCUCUACUCAUUCGGGGUAGGGGUAAGGUUUGCGUACACACUACCCUCUCCAGAAUCCACUAGUGGGAUUUCACUGGGUCGUCGUUGUUGUUGUUUGGGUUUCGCAACAAAAAUGUAGAUGCCUCAACUUUGACCGCCAUGCGUACCUCUUGGGUAUUGUCUGUCUUCACGGACAAUAUAUAAUUACUUUUGGGAGAAAAAGAGUUAGCUGCUUCACAACAUACCAAAGACUGAAAAACACCUUUUACAAGGACGGGGUGAUAUUAUAUCAUUUACAACUUUUUUACAGGUUGGUCACUUGAAAAUGUUAGUCGUCGUAACUCAAGUAUUACUUCACUCUAAACCAUGUGUUGCAGCAGCACCAUCAGGUCUUCCGUCAAGGUAUUAAAUGGUUCAUACAUUGUUGAGUCGAACAAGGUAUGCAAUAACAACCUACAAAACUAGACAACUUGAUCACAAACUGGGCAACUGUGAAGUACAACAGGCAGAUGAGGAGACAACCUUACAGUAACAAGCAACAAGUUAAAAAAUAUGCAACUGAAGCUUUGGAUUACUUGUUGUUUGGUUACAAUUCUUAUGUCAUUUCUUUGCACAUAUUGGUGAGAAAACAAACAUAUUAUUCUUAUAUAAAACUCUUUUGAUUAUGAUUACUUAUUUUGACUU
Molecule: long non-coding RNA, 3100 nt
Organism: Nicotiana tabacum (common tobacco)
Lineage: Eukaryota; Viridiplantae; Streptophyta; Magnoliopsida; Solanales; Solanaceae
Source: RefSeq, a predicted model, not a curated record